GACCCUGUAGUAUAAUGGUUAAUACGCCAACUGUUCCUAGCGCGGGGAAAUAGGUAAGCUGGAGCUCCCCGUUCGAUUCGGGGUAAGGUCA
Molecule: non-coding RNA, 91 nt
Organism: Mycena crocata
Lineage: Eukaryota; Fungi; Basidiomycota; Agaricomycetes; Agaricales; Mycenaceae
Source: the annotation of a GenBank genome assembly